AGCUUUGAGCAGUGGCAGUAUCGUAGCCAAUGAGGUUUAUCCAAGGCACGAUUAUUGCUAAUUGAAAGAGCAGAAAUUUCAUUCUCUACAGCUCUUGAAUGUAAUCAUAGCUUUCCAAAGC
RNAcentral lists this small nuclear RNA (121 nucleotides) under Zalophus californianus (California sea lion). RNAcentral describes it as "U4 spliceosomal RNA (ENSZCAG00015002393.1)". It matches the Rfam family "U4 spliceosomal RNA". From Rfam's summary of the family: U4 small nuclear RNA (U4 snRNA) is a component of the major U2-dependent spliceosome. The record is from RNAcentral. Lineage: Eukaryota; Metazoa; Chordata; Mammalia; Carnivora; Otariidae.